Non-coding RNA from Falco peregrinus (peregrine falcon), 82 nucleotides. The record is from the annotation of a RefSeq genome assembly. Lineage: Eukaryota; Metazoa; Chordata; Aves; Falconiformes; Falconidae.
GUAGUUGUGGCCGAGUGGUGAAGGUGAUGGGCUAGAAAUCCAUUGGAGUUUCCCUGCGCAGUUUCGAAUUCUGCCAACUACG